RNAcentral lists this long non-coding RNA (15662 nucleotides) under Zea mays. RNAcentral's name for it is "long non-coding RNA (ZMAY_LNC002516)". The record is from RNAcentral. Lineage: Eukaryota; Viridiplantae; Streptophyta; Magnoliopsida; Poales; Poaceae.
UACAGAUCAUCUGACUUUGAACUAGGGCUUGUGUGCACUUCAAUUUCUAAAUCCUGGUUUAUUUUCCGUUUCUUUUCAGCACCCGAGUGGUCGACCUGAUCCGCCACAUGAACAGCACCAAGUAAAUGAACAAACUGAUGAAAGCAUGCAAAGAGUGAUGAAAGCAUGCAAAGAGAGUUGUGUUUCUUCCCCGGAAGUGCUUCCGAGAAUAAAUUUUUCUUAUCUGAUUGUCUAAAACCUAUAAUUGGUGUAAUGGUAUCGUAGUGGUUGGUUGAGCAUUGAGUGACUCAUAUUUUGUCAGGUCUAUGUGUUAUCGUUAAACUUUUAACGGUCAUUCUAUUUCAAAAGUUUUGCAUUUUGCAAUCUUUGACGCUCCAUUUCACUUCAUAGUUCCACGUCAUUUCUUCCUUCAUUUGGCUAUUUGGUUGUCGGCUUCUUUAUAGUUCCACGUCUUUUCUUCCUUCACUUAUUAACCGUUAGCUGCUGCUGUGGUUGAGAUGAGAUUACCAUCGAGAAGAGUACAGUGACUGGAUCACUGGAAGUGCAACUCAGGCACACAUUUAUUGUCACUCUAACCUUGUGUAGCCAAACAACUUCAGUGAUGGUAAUAUCUUAGGUAGUAUCUUGAUAAAAUGACACAAACAACUUCAGUGAUGGUAGUAUAUUUGCUGAAUGGACCACAAACAACUUCAGCGAUGUGGGAUGUCUCGGGUUUCUUCGAGGGGAUUCAACCAAGGUCUUGUUUGUUUUAGUGCCAAUCCAUGUAGAUUGAGCGGAAUUGCAUGAGUUUCAAUCUAUAGCAAGACAAAAAAAAUUCUUAAAAUUUUCUAAUUCCUUCCAAUCCAUGUGGGAUGAGAAUAACCAAAUAAGGCCUUAGGGCUAUUUUGGGAGCCAAAAAACCCGAAGAGAUUGAAGGAGCUAGAAUCAUCUGCUUAUUCAAAUUUGGAUAAGGAGAGGAUUUUAGCCCCUCCAAUCGUUAUCGGUUUUGUGCAAAUCCCUUGGGAAAAAAAGGAAACCCUUUGGGAAAAUGUGGUGUUUGUUUUCCUCCUAGAUUAUAUAUAAGUUGGAUUAUAGUAGAAGAUAAUAUGGUAAAAUAUCACUUUGUUUCCCUCCUUGAUUAUAUAAAUUGGAUUAUGGUGGAAGGGUAGUAGGGUAAAAAUAUCAUUUUGGGACUACAAAUAAGCUGAAAUAAACUUAGCAUUUCAACUUAUUUGUGAUUCUAAAGUGAUAUUUUAUCCUCCUACCAUUCCACCAUAAUCCAACUUAUAUAAUUUUGAAUGGAAACAAACAGGAUCUUAGUUGUAAAUAGUUUCUUAAGGGUAGGUGUAAGUGCUAAGGGCGAGGUGGAGUGAGAGGGGGAGGGGGCUUGAACCCCCGCACUUGUAUGUUUAGGGUGCUUCUUUUGAAAGCCGAGUUUUUCGUAGUGUAAAUUUAAAAGUAUAUUUGGAUCUGUUUUUAUCGGCUAUCAAAAGGAAGAACUUUGUAAAAGUUGGAGAAUGGAAGCCCUAACCCUAACCCCAACGUCACCACUCCUGACCCGCUCGUGGACAAAGUGCAGGUCGAUCUCUAUGUGCUUCAUGUGCUGAUGUUGCACGGGAUUGGUGGAGAAGUAGAUCGCGCUGACGUUGUCGUAGUAGACGAGGCUGGCGCAUUGGAGGGGGUGUAGAGCUCAUGGAGAAGCUGGCGUAGCCAGGAGGCCACUACUAUGCCGUUGGCCACAAUGCAGUACUCGGCCUGUACACUCGAGCGGGAGACGACGGGAUGCUUCUUGGCGGCCUAGGAGACGAGGUUGGCGCCCAAGAACACAACAUAACCAGUAGUGGAGCGACGCAUGUUAGGACAGCCAGCCCAGUCAGCGUUGGUGUAGACCAUGAGCAGGGCAUGCAGUUGGACAUGCCGGCCCGCUCCAGGAUGUCGAUGGCAUAUUGGCGCUGGUGGAGGAAGAUAUCCUGAGGCUGACGCUCAGCAGUGAUGCCACAAGGAAGUGGUGAAGGGGCCCCAGGUCCCUCAUGGCGAACUCCCACCGAAUGGCGACAAUCGUGCGUUGUAGAAGGUCAGUGGUGGAUGUCGUGAGCACAAUGUCGUCGACGUAGAGCAGGAGGUAGACGGUGUCGUCGCCGCACCGGUAGAUGAAUAGUGAUGUGUACGACUUGGCCUCAACGAAGCUGAUGGAGGCCAUGUAGGAGGCGAAGCGUCUGUAACAUGCCUGUGGCGCCUACUGAGGUUGUAUAGGGAGCGGUUCAGCUGACAUACUAGAUCUAGACGAGCGGCGUCGAUGAAGCUGGUGGGCUGGCUGCAGUAGACACUCUCCGUUAGAGUGUCGUGGAGGAAGGCAUUCUUGACAUCUAGCUGAUGGAUUGCCUAGUCCUGGGAGUGGGCGAGGGAGAGAACGGCUCAAACGGUGGCGAACUUCACGACGGUGCUAAAUGUCUCGUCGUAGUCUACUUUGGAGCGUUGGGUGAAGCAUCGAAGGACCCAACGGGCCUUGUAGCGGUCGAGGGAGCCAUUCGAGGCCAGCUUGUGACGAAAAAGCCACUUGUCAGUGAUCACAGUGGUGCCUGGUGGACGUAGCACCAGGUCUCAAGUGUGGUUGGCCAGUAGGGCCGCAUACUCCUCCUCAAUAGCGCGACGCUAGUGGGGGUCGGCGUGGGUGACGCGAACAGAGGAGGGGACCGGGGAGGCAUCCGGAGGAGUGGACGUCAUGUCAGCCGUUAGGAUCAGCCGGUCGACAGGGCGAAGAACACCGGUUGCGCGGCGAGUCACUAUGGGGUGGACGUGCUCGGGGUCACGGUGGAUAGCGACCGAGUGGUACAAAGGAGGCUCGGUGCGGGUCACCGAGGCGUCGAGAGCCGAGGGAGUGGCCCGCUCACGACGAUGGUAGACGAGGGUGGGGUACGCAAAGCGAGUUGCGCUCGUCAACGAGGUCGAGUCAACGGGAGCCGAGGGAGUGGCUCACCCGCAGCGGUGGUAGACAAGGGCAGGGUCGGCGAAGCGGGCUGCACUCGUUGAUGGGGCCGCACAUGGCACGAGAGGGGUCAACGAGUCACACGUGGCAGAGGCGGGGUCAACAGGGCCACAUGUGGUGUAGGAAGAGGCACGAACGAAGGCAUAGAGGUCGUGUGUGGCGCGAGUAGAGACAUGAGUGAAGGCGUCGAGGCCGCGCGUGGCAAGGGUAGAGACACUACCGGAGGCGUUGGAGCCGCGUGUGCAGCGGGCAACGGCGCAAGGCGAGCCACCGGAGGUGAGGGGGAACUGGAUCUGACUCAAGGAGAGAAUCGAGAUCAGUGGGUGGGGAGGAGCCAGCAAGGGGAAAUACUUCUUCGUUGAAAAUAACGUGAUGAGAGAUGAAUGUGCAAUGGGAGACGAGGUGAAGACAACGAUACCCCUUGUGGUCAGGAGAGUAACCGAGGAAGAGGUAGCGAGUGGUGCGAGGUGAUAGAUUAUGGGGAGCGGUGGCGGAAAUGUUGGGAUAGCAGGCACAACUGAACAUGUGAAGGUGGUCGUAAUAGGGGGCUAUGCCAUACAGGGCAAAGUGGGGAGUGUGGUGGCUCACCGCCUUCGAGGGGAUGCGGUUGAGGAGAUGUGUGGUGGUCUUUAGGGCCUCUGCCCAAAAGAUGGUAGGGAGAGACGCCUGAAAAAGGAGGCAUCAGAUCAUGUUGUUGGUGGUGCGAAUGAUGUGUUCGGUCUGGCCGUUCUGGGAGAGGUGUAGGGGCACAAGAGACGCAAAUGAACGCCAUGGGUGAGAAAGAAGGAUCUAGAGGUGUUGUUGUCAAACUCGCGGUCAUUGUCACACUGGAGGGCACGGAUCGGGCAACAAAACUGGGUGGCGACUGUGGUGGAACUGCCCGAAUUAUUCCGACUUAAGUGCCUAAGUCCCGCCUCAGAGGCUAGACCACACUUAAAUGGGAAUAACCCGCCAAUCCCUCGGAUCUAGUCCGACGAGGCCACUGACAGGAUCAAGUACCACAAUCUCACUCAAUGGUGAGUCACAGAGCAAAUACAAUAAAGCAUAAAACCAUACAUUAAGGAGUAUUAAACUUAUUACAUCAUCAUCGGAGUUUUAGCAAAAGUAGUCAUCAUUGUUUGAAGUGCAGCGGAAUAAAACUAACGGUAAAUAAACAGAGAGAUGGGGAAGCAUGUCCCAUCACUCCUCAUGCUCCUCCUCAGCCGAGGCAGGAUCCCAUUCGACUGUCCAACCCGGUGGCAAGAUGGACGGCCAAGUCACUCCAGCAACCAUGUCCUCCAGAGAACCUAUAAAAUUAUGCCACAAGCAAGGCUGAGUAUACUAAUACUCAGCUAGACUUACCCGGUGUGAGGAGUCUACUCCUCUACCUCUAGACAUGCAGCUGUUUGGCUGUGGGGUUUGGUUGCCAAAAGCACUAGCUGAGUUUAUAAAUCAAGUUUUAGCUUUGUCAAGAUUAAGUGUGACUCUCUUAAGACCAAAUGUGUACUAUCUACUCAUUCAUGGUAUCAAACAUAUUUAGCAAUCAACAUCUUGUGUCAACUCAUCACAUUUCCACUUGUUACUCAAUGCAGUACAAUGGAUCAAGCAGUUUCAUUAGCUGCGAGAAGUAGACGAUUCGAAUCGAGUUUUUAUCCUUGCAAGGUAAACCUAAACACACGACAUGUAGGGGCACUCCGUCCCCACACACAUCAACCGUCCCCAUCGAUUCCCCGUCAGCAGAUCAGGGCUCACCGCCUUGGCGUCCAGUGCAUCACUGACCCCGACUGUCAUCGUGCAGUGACCGCACUUGUACCCACCAUAACCGGAAUGGGAGACCACGUCUCAGGUCGUGUGAGGGGAUAUGUUCACUGCCAGGUUCACUCAGGUACUAGGCUUACCGAUUUACCAUAUUUCUCGGCAUGUGCUUAGUACGUUCAAUCGCUUGACACAGGUAUCCGCACGUUAAUCCUUAUUCCAAUUUCAUCUCGUAGACCACACAUCCCCAUGGAUCCGUGUCCACAGACCAACAUCAGUAUGAUAUGAAAGUGGGUACAAUCAAUGUCCUGACCUUGCGCGAGUGCUAGAAAAAUCACUCGACUUCUACCGAGAUCCCUAAUUAGUAAGCAGCUACUCGACCUAGCAUACUAGUAUCCAUCACAAAAGGAAUCCUGAGUUCAUUCAACUAUGGUUUCAGGCAACUCCUACACUUAAGUGCACAGUACAAACCUACAAACAAUAAGUGUAGUAAAAUAGUAUAUAUAAACGGUUAUGCAUAGAACCGGGGCUUGCCUUCCAAAGCUGGGGCAGGCAGAUCCUCUGGUGCAGGCUUUGGUGCUGGAUCCGGGGCUACCUCCUGAGCAGCUACUUGCUCCGGCACGAGGACGUACUCUCCGUCAGCGAGGUUGAAAUCUAUCGAAUGCAAUGAAUAAGAAUAUGCAUGCCAUGAUUAUGCAGGAUGUGGUAAACAUUAUGCUAAGUAAAAGAAAACUAAGUUAGUUUAGUAACUUAGGGUUUCUUGGUCUUACUUGGCUCUUGGUGGUGUAUGCUUAUCAACUUAGGUUUGGAGUUUUGUUAGGGAUAAGCAUAGUGGAUUUGUAAUUCCCUUAUAUAUUUCAGUGGACAAUUUAAAAGAAAGGGUUUUGCUGGUUGGGCUAGGGUGACACUAAUUUCCACUAUUAAUUUCCCCUUUUUCAUUUUCUAUUUAUGAAUUCUAGUGUGGGUUUGAACUACAACAGUGGUUUAACUUUUUCCAAAAAUUCUGUAAAAAUUACAGUGGGUUACUAUUGGUCACUAUAGUCUGUUCUAUGAAUUUGAGGUCCAGAAUAAAAAGAGUAUGCCUUGGACAAAAAUAACAAAAGUUGGGCAAAGGGGGUCACUUUGCACUACAACUUUAAACUAGGGGUGGGUUCUGUCCUAAGGGUCAUUUUUGUUGGUAUCUAACAGUAAUCACAUGCUUCUGUGCCAUAAAUCAAAGAAAGUUAAUUGGUGGUUAUUUAGUUGUGAUUUUCUAAAGUUUAAUGUCAAAAAGGCACUUUCUACUACCUUGUUAUUUGAAAAAUGUCAAACAGCAGAUUUCAUAUUUUUCCUAUGUUCUUAAUAAUAAAACAUUAAUUAUCCCAAGGUUUGGGGUGUUUUCACCAUGGGGUUAUUUUUCUAAGGUUUUUUCUAAGUUUUCCUUGUUUUCUUAAAAUAAAAGGUAUCCCAAUUAUUUUACACUAAACCAGAGUAUAAUAAGUUUUUCUAGUGAACUAUACUGAAUAAGUAGACUAACAAAAAAUGUGGGUGCUCCCUGGUUCUUUAUUUAAAUUACCUUUCCUAUUUUCUUUAACUUUAAGCACAAUGUGAAAUAAAUUGCAAACUCUACCUUAAUGGGGUAUACAGAGGGGUUUAUCAUUUUUAAACAGGUUAGGAAGUGAUUAGGUACUUCUCCAAAUUUUCUUAACCUCAGUCUAAUAGUGCAACUAUUUUUCCUCCUAUUAUUUAGCUUUUGGCCAAAUCAAUAUUUAAAUCAAGACCUUAAAGUUUUCUGUAACACUUUGGUUUUAUAUUUUUCUUAAGUAGUUUACAUUAUUUAAGAUCUGGCAAAAUUGGUUUGACUCGAUUUGGGUGAACAAAAUAGAAGAUAUGAAUUAUUCAAGUUCUGUUUGAAUUUAAAUCAGAUUAAAUAAAAGGUUUCCUGGAAAAACCACUUUGCAUCGAAGACCCUGGGUUCUUUCUAAACAAAUCCUCUCAGUUAUACCCCUGCGCUACUAUUCCCCCGAGUCACUGACAAUGCACAAAACCCCCUAGCCUAUUCUUCUUCUCCCCCGCGGUCCCUCCCCAGGUUUAAACAGUACCCGCGGAAAAGAAAAGGGCGGCGCGGCUUACCGGCGGCGAGAGAGGUCCGGUGAGGGGCGGGGCUGGCUUCGGGAGGUCCUGGCGGUCACAACGGUGUACGGCUCGACGGCGGAGGUGGCCGGAAUCGUCUGAUCCACGUGCGCAGGCGGGUGAUCUCGUCGGCGGCGGGUGUUCCGGCUAAACCACGACGAUCUAGUUCAAUCAAACGGCACGAUGAGCUCCACGGGGUGACGUAGAGGCUAUGUGCACAAGGAAUCGAAGAAUGGAGUAGAGGAUUACCCGGUCUAAGUUCACCGGCGGUCGGUCAAAGUCCGGCGACCGUGGACUGGCUUCUCCGACGAAGCAAAGUUCGAUUCCUUGCUCGGGGAGCUUCACCGAGGCGUGCAUAGUCUCUUCCAAGGGUCGGGCGUGGCUGGGAAGGGCUCUGUUGGCCGGUCUACGGUGGCAGGGGCUCGGGUGACCACGGGCACGCCGUGCACGGGGCAAACACCGGUGGUUUCGGGCUCCGGUGAGGUCGAGCGUGCGCGGGGGAGUACGGUCGACGCUUGAGGGUGAUUUAUAGGCGCGGGCGCGAGGAGGAGACGCGAGCGCGGCUUGGCAUGGCGCGGGGCGCGCGCGGGCGUGCUCUGGCGCGCGCAAAGCGCGUCGAACACGUGGAGGUGUUCUUCUGCCCAUGUUCAAAAGCUUGCUGAGAUCGCAUACGUGCGAAUCUUGGCAAAAAUCCGGCGCAGACCUCUUCCUAGCACCUAUGGCUAUCUCUUGUAUGUGAGUUCCAAGGGAAGAUAAACCCUAGGUCAGAAGAUAUGCGGACGCCAAAUCUGGCUUGUCUCCCUGCCCACUGCGCGACAAAAGUGAUGCCAAGACAUGUCAAAUUUCAAGGGCUCGGUCUCAACUUUUUCCAGUGGGUGCCUUAGGUGGUAUGCCACAUUUUUGGUAUAGAACUUAGGUGGUUUUGGUGCCAUCUACAAGGUGAACACGAUGGAUCUUUAGAUUAGGAGUAGAUUUGGACUUAGAGAGAAUUAGAGAGCUCUAGCUCUCUCUCUACUUAAGGAAUGGAUUUGGGGUUUCUUAAGGGGUCUUUUUGCAAUGUUUCCUCUCUAUAUUUGCGGAUUAAUAUGUUACUUAACUUUAGCGAAAGGUUAGGUCAUGAUUUGCACAUUUGCUUAAUCUCUCCCCCCCUUCAACCAAGGUUUUAGGAGAUAGGGGUUCAAGAGGGGUCUAUGGUUUACUCCCCUCUUGUCCAAUGUGAUAAGUGCACAAAAGCUUGGAUAAUGCUUUUAGGUCAUUAACUUUCUUGGUUAAUACAUGGUCUCCAAGAUUCUUAUGCUAUUCUCCUUAAGUUUCUUCCACAUGUGAUCACAGUCAUUAGUGCAUAGAUGUGCCAUAGCCAUGGUAACACUUGGGGUGUUACAACCCUCCCCCCUUAAAGGAAUCUCGUCCCGAGAUUUUAGGUAGAGUCCUCAGGAGGAGUGCCAAGAAGGUGUGUUGGUGUGUUGCUUCUUCUUAGAUUCAAAUUUCACUAGUUAACUGCUCUUCGAAUGUCAUUCUCUUUGCGACUUCAGAAGGAAGUCCUUUUUAAGUCAAAUCCACAACUUAGACUACCCUUAACUUCUAAGUUUUUCUUAUAUUUGUAUUCAAAGGGAAGGUGGGGGUGGGGUUUUGGGUUACGUACCGACUCCUUUGGGGUAGAAAGUCGGGGAAGCGAGAGCGUAGAAAAUCCUCAGUCUCCCAUGUAGCUUCUUCUAUUGAAUGGUGACUCCACUGAACCUUAUACAUUCUGAUCGACCUUGCCCGUGUUGAUCUCUCUUUCUGAUCCAAUACCUUGACGGGGUACUCUUGAUAGGACAAGUCUGGUUCUAUCUCAAUUUCUGGUUCAGGUAGCACUUCAGUGGGUAAGCGGACGCAUUUUCGCAACUGAGAUACAUGGAACACAUCAUGAACAGCUGACAUGUGGGGUGGCAACUUCAAUUGAUAUGCUACUGGCCCACAAUUUGCUUUGAUCUCAUAGGGUCCAAUGUAGCGAGAAGCUAACUUGCCCUUGAUCCCAAAUCUCUGGACACCCUUGGUGGGUGACACCUUAAGAUAAACAUGAUCUUCCACAUUAAACUGCAGAGGCUUCCUCCUCCUAUCAUGAUAGCUCUUUUGCCUGGCCUGAGUAGCUUCUAAGUUCUUCUUAAUGACUCUGACCUUUUCCUCUGCUUCAAGCACCAAAUCUGGCCCAAAUAUUUCCCUCUCUCCUGCUUGAGACCAAUUCAGCGGGGUUCUACAUCUUCUCCCAUAUACGGCUUCAAAAGGUGCCAUCUUCAAACUGGACUGAUAGCUGUUAUUAUAGGAGAAUUCCGCCAAAGAAAGACACUUGUCCCAAUUUUUACCAUAGUGUAGCACACAGGCUCGCAACAUGUCUUCAAGGAUUUGAUUUACUCUUUCUGUCUGGCCAUCUGUUUGAGGAUGGUAUGCUGAGCUUCGUAUUACAUGGGUCCCAAGUGAUUCUUGUAGCUGCUCCCAAAAGCGUGCCACAAACAGUGCUCCUCUGUCAGAUACAAUGGUCUUUGGAAUACCAUGCAAACGCACUAUUUGAUCAACAUAGAUUUCUGCAUAUUUCUCUAUCUUGUGGGUGGUAUGCACUGGUAAGAAAUGAGCGGUCUUGGUCAAUCUGUCCACAAUGACCCAAAUGGAAUCAUGGUGCCGGGAGGUAUUGGGCAAUCCCACGAUAAAGUCCAUGCAAAUGUCCUCCCAUUUCCAAGAUGGUAUGGGAAGGGGUUGCAAAGGGCCUGCUGCCUUCAAAUGACUGGCCUUGAUUCUCUGGCAGGUGUCACAUUCGGAUAUAUACUUGGCAAUUUCCCUCUUCAUUCUGGUCCACCAGUAUAAGGAUCUGAGAUCAUGAUACAUCUUGUUACUGCCGGGGUGCAUGGAGAAUUUUGAAAGGUGAGCUUCAUCCAAUAUCUUCUUUCUGAGCUCAGGGUCCUUGGGAACAACCAAUCGAUCUCCAAACCAUAAGAUUCCUCUGCUGUCCUACCAGAAGCAUUUGUAUUUCUCUGCUUUCUGCUUGAUCAUUUCCUUAAUAACCUGAACACCCUUGUCUUCAAUCUGUGCCCUGACUAUUUGCUCUUGUAAUGUGGGCUCCACCGAGAUAUAAUUCAAGGCACCUGAAGAAACAACUUCUAGGUUCAACUUGCACAACUCAUCACACAGGGUGGUGACUUUUGCAUCCAUGCUCAUACAGUUGCACUGGGCCUUUCUGCUCAAGGCAUCUGCCACAACAUUGGCUUUGCCAGGAUGGUAAUGCACCUCCAAAUCAUAGUCCUUGAUUAACUCUAACCAUCUUCUCUGCCCCAUAUUUAGAUCUGCCUGAGUGAAAAUGUAUUUGAGACUCUUAUGAUCAGUGUAAAUAUUACAGUGAGCUCCCAUCAAGUAAUGUCUCCAUAUCUUGAGAGCAUGAACCAUGGCUGCUAACUCCAGAUCAUGUGUAGGGUAGUUCUGCUCAUGAAGUCUGAGUGCUCGGGAGGCAUAAGCAAUUACUCUGUUAUCUUGCAUUAAGACGCAUCCCAAUCCAGUACCGGAAGCAUCGCAAUAAACUUCAAAGGGCUUGGUGUUAUCAGGUUGAGCUAGCACUGGGGCUGUUGUCAAAUGCUGCCUUAGUGUAUGAAAGGCAUCUUCACACUUCUGGCUCCAAUUAUACUUGACUCCCUUCUUCAACAAUUCAGUCAUUGGCUUGGCAAUUCUGGAGAAAUCCGGAAUAAAUCGUCGAUAAUACCCUGCCAAUCCCAGAAAACUCCGAAUCUGCCGCACUGUGGUAGGAGGUUUCCAAUCCAUUACUUCUUGUACCUUCUCAGGAUCAACUGAUAUCCCAUCCUGAGAAAUUGUGUGACCCAAGAAUUUAAUUUCCCUUAGCCAGAAUUCACAUUUAGACAACUUAGCAUAAAGACGAUGAUCGCGCAGUCGCUGAAGCACGAUGUGCAGAUGCUCAGUAUGCUCGUCUUCAUUCUUGGAAUAGACCAAGAUAUCAUCAAUGAAAACCACUACAAAUUUGUCCAGCUCUGGCAUGAAUACUGAGUUCAUCAGAUACAUGAAAUAAGCCGGGGCAUUGGUCAGCCCAAAAGACAUCACCAAAAACUCAUAGAGCCCAUAUCUGGUCGAGAAAGCUGUUUUCGGAAUAUCACUGGCACGGAUCUUGAUCUGAUGGUAGCCAGAGCGAAGGUCUAUCUUGGAGAAUACCUUGGCUCCCACCAACUGAUCAAACAAAACAUCAAUGCGGGGCAGUGGUUAUUUGUUCUUGAUAGUCACCGCAUUGAGAGGGCGGUAAUCAACACACAUUCUCAGACUCUCAUCCUUUUUCUUCACAAAUAAGGCCGGACAUCCCCACGGUGAAGUACUUGGGCGAAUGAACCCCUUGUCCAACAACUCUUGCAGUUGCUUUUUUAGUUCUGCCAAUUCCGCGGGAGGCAUCCUAUAUGGUCUCUUGGAGAUAGGAGCAGUCCCGGGUUGCAAUUCAAUUACGAACUCGAUGUCUCUAUCAGGUGGCAUCCCUGGCAAUUCAUCCGGAAAAACAUCUGGGUAGUUACAGACCACUGAGAUCCUUUCCACUGGGGAUUCUAUCAUAACGAAGGCACAAGAACGGGUACAACCCUGGUCGGGCAAAUAUAAUGUGGUCUCACCAUAGGUCGGUGAGUGCACUUCAAUGGCCCUAGCUGCAAUAUCCAUCGUGGCCUGAUGUUUGGUUAACAAGUCAGUUCCCAAUAUGAUAUCCACACUAUCCAAACCCAAAAUGAGGAGGUUGGUUUUGAUUAUCAAACUACCAAACUUUAUAGGCACAUUCCUGUUGAUUUGGUAGGUGGCAACCCUGCCUCCUGGUGUGGAAAUUGUAAUACCCCCAUUGGUGUGGUGAAAAGGUAAUUGACAUUUGGCACUAAAUUUGGUACUGAUAAAACUAUGUGAUGCACCAGAAUCGAAGAGAAUAAUAGCAGGAUAAUUCAAAACUGUAAAGAUACCAUUCAUGACGGGUGCUCCCUCUGGAAUGUCAGCCAUGGUGGUGAAGUUCAGCCUGCCUUGCCUCACUUGCACCUUCUGCCUCUUGCCUUGGUUCUGGUUAGCAUUCUGCCCCUGCCUCUACUGGUUCCUAGGGCAAUUCUUGGCAUAAUGUCCGGUGUUGCCACAAGUGAAGCACCUAUUGUCAUUUGCCUGACGAUAUUGCUGCUGCUAUUGAUUAUUCCUCUAAGCUGGAAACUGGGUGCCUGCUGCUGUGGUCGGAUCACCCAUCGCCCUUGCUGCUGCUGAGGUCCUCUGUUCUGAGUGUCAGACACGAUCCUGAAGCGCUGUGGCUGAGCUGAGGGUCCUGCCACAGGGGUCUUCCUCUUCUUCUCUGCCUGACGAGCUAUGAUACAGUCCUCCUAAGAAAUGACCAUGUUGACUAACUCAUUAUAGCUGUUGGCCCUGACUGUGUUGAGAUGGUCACGGAGCUUAGUGCUGAGCCCCCUCCUGAACCUGUCCCUCUUCUUCUCGUCCGUGUCUGCAUGAUACCCGGCAUACUGGCACAGGUCAUUGAAGGCCUGAGCAUACUAUAACAUUGUCCGAUUUCCCUGAGUGAGUGCCAGAAACUCAUUGAGCUUUCGGUCCAUAAUGCCUGCUGGUAUAUGGUGCCCCCUGAAAGCUGCCUUGAACUCUCUCCAUUCCACCUCUCGGUCAUCUGGCUGCACAGCAAGAAAAUGGUCCCACCAUGUCCGCGCGGGUCCACGAAGCUGCUGGGUGGCGAACCUGACCUUAGUGACCUCUGAACAACCUUCAUGGAGUAGCGGGAAUUUGGAUUCCACUACUCUCAACCAUACAUCCACAUCAAGUGGUUCCUCUGCCAUGGUGAACAAUGGUAGCUGGGUACUGAGGAAUUCUUGGUAAGUGGCUGCCGCGGGGUGACACUGAUGAUCACCACCACCAUAGUGCUGAGGUGGCGGCUGACGCUGAGCUAGCUGUCUCAAGAUCUCAUUUUGCUGAGCCAUCAGCUCCUACAGAGUAGGAGGCGGUGGCGGCGGUGGAGGAACGCGCUCAUUUUGACCACGACGCGCUCUCCCGGCCAUCUAAAAAAUCACAUAUAUUUUCAAUAACACAACUUUGAGGUUCAAGGUUCAAUCGCGGUGAAAGAGUAAAAAGGUGAAAUCCAUCUAUUCUUGCAUAAUCAUAAAAGAUUUCACAUGGCAUAAACUUUUCUUCUUAAAUUUAGACUACCAUCAUUCAUCAACCAUGCUUCCAAAAGAGUUUACCACGAUUACAUCAAUACCCCAAAAGACUCAACUCUAUCUAGCCUAGUACCCUAAGGGUGCAAAAGCUAAGCUAGCUUCGAGGAGUUCUAUCAUCACUGACUUCUAACUCUAUCCCUGCGACCUAGUGAGCAAACGAGGCAACACUCGACUCGGGGGAAGGUGGUCUCCCUGAGCCCGCAGUGUCCAAGCUGGAGGCAGGCUCCUCUCCUCCCUCGAUGUCGACAUCCUCAUUGGCCUCCAUGUCCUAGAUCUCCUAGUGAUGCAUAUCCAGGUGCUCGUUAGCUUCGGCAAGCUGCUACUGGGUGUUAAUUAACUGAUCCUCGAGAACCUCGAUGGUGUUCUCCCUUGUUCUCACUAGUUCCUCAAGCUCUUGGAUCUCAUUUGACAAUUGUUCCACUUGUAGGUCUUUUUCCACCAUCUCCGUGGAUAAGUCAACCACAAGCUCCUCUCUGUUAUCCAAGGUGAUCUUAGUUGCCUCCAACAAUGCCAUCAGAUGGGACAUUGCCUCACCACACAUCACUUGCAGACGGUACAUGGCAUUCAUGCACCGCACUGUCAAGUGAGCAGUCUGACCUGGGUAGAUAGCCCAGAUGUCCUUGGCAUGCUCCACUCGUGUCACACCCGGGUUUAGAAGGCAAACCGAAUGCGAACCAUGUACGUGCCAGGAUCAGUUAUUCACGUAUACAGCAGUUACAUAACAUGGACAUCAUCACACAGUGCUCAAAAUAGUAUAUUUAAAAGGGAAAUAAUAGUCGAUUACAUCAUACGUCUGAGACGUCCAUAUAGUCCUUACAAUAAAUCAAAGUGCGGAAAAGAAACGUAGAUAACCGCGGCCUUCACAGGCAGCCGACUGGGGGGUUGCCGCUAACCCACGCCUAGAACUCGUCGUAGUCUUGGAACUCCUGGAAGUCUCCUUCCACAGCUUCAUCUUCUCCUGAGCAGUGCUUGCAAUGCUGACAACCUAGGGAUGGGGGGGGGGUUUGGUGUGUAGAGCAAGGGUGAGUACACAUCAACAUACUCAGCAAGUAUCCCGUUUGGCUGUAGUGGACUAGCUUUAUGUGGGGAUAAGUCAAGCAGUUGCUUUUAGUUGGUCAGAUUAUUAUUUACUAAUAGAAAGCCAGGUUUUAGCAUUAACCCAAGUUAUUAGCCCGAUGUACCCUUUCCAAACGGAAAGAAUACCACUUACCAGCACCAUAGUCAUAACUAGAACCAUCAGUCUCAUUGCCACCUGUAAACCAAAAUGUCUUGGAUCAAGUACCACUAAUCACUGGAGCUCCCUUGGCCACUCAUAACCGCGAGCACGGCUGAUAUAUCAGUUUUCAAACACUCUGCAGAGGUUGUGCACUUUACCCACAAGUCGUGAUUCCCUUUCCGCCCGGAGGUCAUGACUCUCCAUUGAUCACUACCAAGGUGACCCAGCAGGGCAUCACUACGUAGCCUUUACAAAGAUUCCCCGGGGCUGUAGCCACCCGUUAGGUUUCCUAAAUGCACUGCACUCCUCACCAAGGGGCGAACCCAAACUUGGCAGAGCGAGCCGCAUACACCGAGCCCCAUUGACGGCACAACGGCUAAGCGAACUACACCCCGGAUCCUCUAAUUAUUCAGCUAAGGGCAUCCCAUUCCACCCUCAUGGUUGCACUGUUUUCCCGGGCGGUCAUCCAAAGAACAGGUCCUUACGGAGAGGCACUCGAGAAACCGCUCGAGCCCCCUUAAAGGCCACAAGUACAACAUCAUAAUAAGAGAAGGGAAAACAGCGUAUCGUAGAUAAUCUCAUCAUGUUCAUUGAUUAGAGUUUGAGCAAUAGCAUAAAGCUAAACAAUAAUAAUCCAACCCAAAUAGGUAAACAAGGAUAUGGAUAACAAAAGCUAGUCAAUCCUUAGGCAUAAAAGUGUAAUGCGGGAGGUGAAUUAAAGAAUGUAUAGGACAGAGAUAGGUCAAGGGACACUUGCCUCCACCAACCGACUGCUGCUCAGAGGCUUCUCCUGCGAGUUCCUCGGGCUCUUCAAUCGGAUCGUUCUCUAUGCGAUUGCAAGCAUACAUACAUCCAUCCAUUCAAAUUAGGGAACAAACAGUACACCAUACAAGAGAACAAAUAAAGUGAAUAUGCAUAGAAUAUCACAUACGAUAAUGAAUUUACCUUGGUUAGAAAGAAACGAGGGAAGGUCUCGCAGGGGUUAAGGCUUAUGCUCGAGGUGCACUACGGGUAAACGAAUAACUAGACGUCACGUGCUCUAGUUCCAAUUGGUUCUAACAAAAGAAUUAGCUACAUGCACUAAUGUAAGCGUGACCACUUUUAGUGGAUUAACAUUGAAUGAGUUAGACGAUUAGCUAUACAAAUUAACUAACGUAACCAAUUUCCAAAUUGAGACUCGUAUCUGUAACAUCCCAGGUGUUUAUAUUCCGCUCGACAACGAGUACAGAUUUAAGCAUGUAAUCAGUGGAUAAAACAGAUGCUAAAUUUUAAUCAUCUUCGUCUAUCGCGAUUUUAAUAUCGCAUCUGUUUCUGUCUAUUUAGACUCCUAAAAUUUUCGCGAAUUUCGGAACGUAAUUGUUCUGAAAGCUUGCGAACCUGUGCCCAAUUAAAAUCGCAUCUGUUUCGUCUGUCGCGAGGUCGACAUCAUUUUUUUAUC